This 425-nucleotide ribosomal RNA is filed under the name uncultured bacterium. RNAcentral describes it as "bacterial SSU rRNA". It matches the Rfam family "Bacterial small subunit ribosomal RNA", at positions 356 to 773 of the family's 1533-position model. The record is from RNAcentral.
GGGGAAUUUUGGACAAUGGGGGCAACCCUGAUCCAGCCAUUCCGCGUGAGUGAAGAAGGCCUUCGGGUUGUAAAGCUCUUUCGGCAGGAACGAAACGGUGGCCCCUAAUACGGGCUACUAAUGACGGUACCUGAAGAAGAAGCACCGGCUAACUACGUGCCAGCAGCCGCGGUAAUACGUAGGGUGAGAGCGUUAAUCGGAAUUACUGGGCGUAAAGCGUGCGCAGGCGGUUCUAUAAGACAGAUGUGAAAUCCCCGGGCUUAACCUGGGAACUGCGUUUGUGACUGUAGGACUCGAGUGUGGCAGAGGGGGGUGGAAUUCCACGUGUAGCAGUGAAAUGCGUAGAGAUGUGGAGGAACACCGAUGGCGAAGGCAGCCCCCUGGGUCAACACUGACGCUCAUGCACGAAAGCGUGGGGAGCAAAC